Molecule: ribosomal RNA, 450 nt
Filed under: uncultured Sphingobacteriales bacterium
Lineage: Bacteria; Pseudomonadati; Bacteroidota; Sphingobacteriia; Sphingobacteriales
Description: bacterial SSU rRNA
Rfam family: Bacterial small subunit ribosomal RNA
Source: RNAcentral
AGCAUGUGGUUUAAUUCGAUGACUACGCGAGGAACCUUACCUGGGCUCAAAUGUAUGUUGACGUAUUCUGAAAGGGAUACUUCUUCGGACAAUAUACAAGGUGCUGCAUGGUUGUCGUCAGCUCGGUGCCGUGAGGUGUCCGGGUUAAGUCCCAUAACGAGCGCAACCCUAUCAUUAGUUGCCAUCAGGUCAAGCUGGGGACUCUAAUGAAACUGCCUACGCAAGUAGUGAGGAAGGUGGGGAUGACGUCAAAUCAGCACGGCCCUUACGUCCAGGGCUACACACGUGCUACAAUGGCCGGUACAAAGGGCAGCUACCUGGUGACAGGAUGCUAAUCUCAAAAGCCGGUCUCAGUUCGGAUCCGGAGUCUGCAACCCGACUCCGUGAAGCUGGAAGGUCGCUAGUAAUCGCGACAUCAGCCAUGGCGCGGUGAAUACGUUCCCGGGCCUU